UCUCCGUAGAUUGGCUGAGGCGCUCGUCGAACUCAUAAAGCUUCUCGAUGUAGUUGGGGAUAAUGUUCUGACAUUUCGAGAGGAAGCUGAGAUUGAGAGAACGGAUGCAGGUGAGUAAAUACACAGACGAAACCUAUUAGUCUAUUACACAUAGUAGUGAAAAUAAAAAGCUUCCGGAGAAAGAUGAAGAAUAAGAUGAGAUUUUACCGAACCAGGAUUCUGGAAGGUUGAUACUUAGUAGCUUUUCUGUAAAAGGCCCUCACUCGGUUCGUGGGCCAUCCUGUUCCAUCUGUUAAUUUUUCAUAUUAUUGUUUGCUGACCAUGCAUUCACCACAUGACCUUUCCUCGUACUUUGGUCUCAGUCACACGUAUCGCGAAUCAUUUCCCGAUAGGUCACCCAUCCUUCCAGUACUUCAGUUCAAGCACAUUUAACUCUGGAGUUUUAAAUGGAUGUGUGACGGAAAAGUUAAGUCAACUAUGGUGACAUAGGUAACCAAAUCAAUUCUCUUAAUCCUUUCCGUAUAUCACAACUCGGGAUGUUACAUUUUCUUUAGUAAACUCGCCAAAGGGUUUCUGUGAAUUUCAGUUCCCUUGACGAAGAAAUAGUUGGAUUGUGACAUCCCCCUUAAAUGACGUCCGUUUCUUUGAACGGUGAGCUUUUGACAAAACGACACCCUUGUUUAUAAUUUAUUUCCAAUUUGCCUCAAGUAUUUAGAAAACUGCAAACUAACCAGCCAGAUUUGGCCAUAACUCGGAACGAGGAACUCAUAUCAGGACCACAGAGACGAUUGUUCCAACAAUACGAUGAAGCUUCUAUUCUCGAAAUUAGCGCCUUGUGAAAUUUAACCAUGUGUUCUGUCUCUUUAAACAAUUGAAACAGGCAAGACGUGACAUGUGCGACCGAUGAAGGCUUGUAAGAAUGCAAUUUCUUCCAAUUUCUACCUUGGUUAUCUCAUACGCAUUGGUAUAGUGUGUGUUGGGUUUAAUCGUACAGUUAUUGAAUGUCAUCGAACCUUUAAUUGGUUUUAGGUUGGAAGCCAACCAUAUAUCUUAUCAUGUUAGAAGUUUCGAUUCUUGGAGUUUCUUUCAAAGAAAUGAAGUUACAGAUUAAGCUUAGAAUUCACCACCAGCUGGAUCUGGACAGGGUCAAGUCUACUUUCCCCUAGUAAGUUCACCUCUAUCAUGAUUCAUGACCAACAAAUUUGUUAUUAGACUUAGAAUGUCUCCUUUGUUUAUUAAUCUCUUUCUAUAACAUCACACAAUAUUAGUUAGACAAAUUUUUAGGUUUUGUUUUCAUCACAUACGAAAAUAAUAUAAAGACACUUUACAAUCCACCUUCUUUUUUAUGCUCCUAGUCUUCACUUAAAGACCACCCCCAAAGUAAAACUGUCAGCUUCUUUGCACCUCCAAGAAUGUAAUUACAGAACAAAGGUGUGUUUGCACUUUCUUUGUAAAGAUGUAUUGCUCAAAUUCACAUGGACAAAGCUGCGUAGAGAAGUUGGUUCCAAGUAUCUGGCAACCCGGGAAGGCACCAGUGGCUGCAAUCAUUUCCUCCAUCGCCACCAUAAGUAGAAGGAUGAG
This is a long non-coding RNA of Brassica rapa (field mustard), 1581 nucleotides long. RefSeq lists it as uncharacterized. Lineage: Eukaryota; Viridiplantae; Streptophyta; Magnoliopsida; Brassicales; Brassicaceae. The record is from RefSeq and is a predicted model, not a curated record.